This 1112-nucleotide long non-coding RNA is filed under the name Anolis carolinensis (green anole). RNAcentral describes it as "lncRNA (ENSACAG00000031121.2)". The record is from RNAcentral. Lineage: Eukaryota; Metazoa; Chordata; Lepidosauria; Squamata; Anolidae.
GCCUAUUAAAAAUGAAAUUAGAUUAUGAUUUUACAAAUUAAUCACCUAAACAUUAUGUUAUACAACAAAUAUGACAGAAAAAGUAGUUCAGUAUGCAGUAAUGUUAUGUUGUAAUUAUUGUAUUUACAAAUUUAGCACCAAAAUAUCAUGAUAUAUUGAAAACAUUGACUACUAAAAUGCGUUGGAUAAUCCAGAACAUUGCAUAAGCGAGUGUUGGAUAAGUGAAACUCUACUGUACCUAUAUAUAAGUUGGUCUCAUGUAUAAGUCGCAGCCAUGUUUAGGAGCCAAAAUAAUAGAUUUUGCUAUGAGGAUAAAAUUUAGGGACAAGUGACAAACAAAUCUUUUUAACAAUGUAUAGAAGGAACAUACUUAGGAAGAACUAAAGAGAAGGGGGAGUCUGUUUAUCUGAGAGGUUAUAGUGCAUUGCAGAUCUUAAAAUGUCUAUCCUAUACAAAUAUAGUGAUACCUUGACUUAAGAAUAUAAUUCAUUCCGUGACCAUGUACUUAAGUGAAAACAUUCUUAUCUCAAAGCGAGUUUUCCCAUUGUAAUGCAUUGAAAUGCCACUGUGGCAAGGAAUCACAUUUGAGGCAACAAAAUGUGUUGCCCAGUGUACAGCAAGGCAAAACAGCAUCAUUUUCUUCAUAAUGUAAUUCCAGCCUCCCCACUCCCUCCCCCCACGCUUGCACUCUCUCUCUCUCUCUCUCUCUCUCUCUCUUCUUGAAGCAAAAUAUACAGUACUAACUGUGUAGGCUGAGGCUCUGCUGCACCAGGAUGGAUUGCAAUCUCUGGACUCUUGUCAAAACAUUCAGGAGAAGCAAUCACAUGGAGCUGGGGAUUCUGCCUUGCAGGAAGAGCCAAAGCUGCUCCGGCUAGGGAUCCAAUCCAGGUUUUGUUUCUCUCUGCCUUGUUUUUAGAACUGGUUAAGGGAGCAAAGAGGCCUCUUUUGCAAUGUUUGAUGGUCAAAACACCAUUCUUAUGUCAAAACGUCAUUCCAGGCCAAGUGAAGAUUUCAAUGAAAAUCUCAUCACUGGGCUUCUCUCCAGGGAUGCUACUCAGUAUGGACUACAAUCAAGCCAAAGCACUAAUCAAACGACGUAUUUCAGACACAGA